AAACAGAUGCUAAUACCGGAUAAAAAGACUACUUUCGUCAUGAAAGAAAGUUUAAAAAAGGUACGGCGUAAAGCUGUCGCUAAAGGAUGGACCUGCGAUGCAUUAGCUAGUUGGUAAGGUAAACGGCUUACCAAGGCGAUGAUGCAUAGCCGAGUUGAGAGACUGAUCGGCCACAUUGGGACUGAGACACGGCCCAAACUCCUACGGGAGGCAGCAGUAGGGAAUCUUCCACAAUGGACGCAAGUCUGAUGGAGCAACGCCGCGUGAGUGAAGAAGGUUUUCGGAUCGUAAAGCUCUGUUGUUGGUGAAGAAGGAUAGAGGUAGUAACUGGCCUUUAUUUGACGGUAAUCAACCAGAAAGUCACGGCUAACUACGUGCCAGCAGCCGCGGUAAAU
RNAcentral lists this ribosomal RNA (395 nucleotides) under uncultured Lactobacillus sp. RNAcentral's name for it is "bacterial SSU rRNA". It matches the Rfam family "Bacterial small subunit ribosomal RNA", at positions 154 to 525 of the family's 1533-position model. Lineage: Bacteria; Bacillati; Bacillota; Bacilli; Lactobacillales; Lactobacillaceae. The record is from RNAcentral.